UCUAGUUGCUUUCUAAAUGUUCUGAGUUCUCUUCCAUUUCAUAAAUUGUCUCCCUAUAAAAAAGAAUAUGAUUAUGUUAUCCAUUUCAAUGUGAAAAUAGUUCCUGGUUCCUUCAGUGAGAAUUCUCCUUCAAAGGAACAUUUAGUUUCUGACUGGUUUGAUUUUCCGUGGUGUCUAAAGUUUCAUAUAAUAGGUUUUGUAGGCUUUGUUCAGGCUUAUGCAUUCGUUAAUCACUUAGUGUAUGAAUUCUAUCUAUGUUUUAUCUGUAGCUGUUUCCUAUGGAACUAAUUAAUCUCCCUAAUUUAUAUGCAGGAUAACAUCUUAAAAAUUCGAAAAGUUUAUGAUGCUUUUCUAGCAGAGUUUCCUUUGUGUUAUGGGUAUUGGAAAAAUUCAAGCUUAUACCUAUUCAGUUGA
RNAcentral lists this long non-coding RNA (414 nucleotides) under Rosa chinensis. RNAcentral describes it as "sRNA RchiOBHm_Chr7g0223551". Lineage: Eukaryota; Viridiplantae; Streptophyta; Magnoliopsida; Rosales; Rosaceae. The record is from RNAcentral.